This is a long non-coding RNA of Phasianus colchicus (ring-necked pheasant), 789 nucleotides long. RefSeq lists it as uncharacterized. NCBI's taxonomy places the organism in Eukaryota, Metazoa, Chordata, Aves, Galliformes, Phasianidae. The record is from RefSeq and is a predicted model, not a curated record.
UGAAGGCAAUUCAGCUGUGUGAUGGGAAGGGAUGGAGCCUGGCUGCACCUCUCUUAGACCUCAUUUGAGGGCUGGCUGCCACUGGGGAAGCAUCUCUUUCUGAAGGCUCCUCCAUAGUGAAGCUCUUCUCUGUGAACCUGGACUCUUCUGAUACAGGUUCUGAAGUUGGCAUUUUUCCCUAUUCUGCAUGUAGUUGUUUGCCCCAGGCUGUAAAACAAGACUAUAAUGACCGAAGAACAAAUACCACAUCAUGGAGCUAAGCUAAAGGAAGCAGUCUGCUUGCAGUUUAAGUGACUAGCACAAGACAGAACAACUCCUAAAGCUCAAGCUUGUCCAGCAAAAUGACGAGGACAGUCAGAAAAGCAUUUGCUUUUUGAAAGCAGGUCAGAAGUAAGACUGGCAUUGAGGAUUUGCUUUGUAUUCAGAGCUGACAAUCCACUAAUCCUCGCUUAGUUUGCCUGAAGUUCCUCUGAGUGAUUGGAGCCCAGCACUGAAAGGAGCUCAAGUGACAAACUGCAACUGGGAGUGAGAUUGCAAAUGUAGAAACCAUGACCCCCAGCUCAUCAGAAGUUUUGUACAGGCCUCCAACCAGAACUCCAGUCCACCACGUUAAGAAUUCUUCACCCAGUUCUCCUACCACCACCCCACAGAGCAGCACAGCAUGUGGCUUCAAGGCCAAAGACUCAAGUUCAGCUAAAGCAGCUGUAGUGAUCACUACUUCACCCUCGUGCCAUAGGUUUCUCUUUCCAAACGGGGAUAGCCAAAUAUCAUACCUGUUCCUCAUCAGAU